RNAcentral lists this ribosomal RNA (425 nucleotides) under uncultured bacterium. Its description in RNAcentral is "partial 16S ribosomal RNA". It matches the Rfam family "Bacterial small subunit ribosomal RNA", at positions 354 to 796 of the family's 1533-position model. The record is from RNAcentral.
GUGGGGAAUAUUGGGCAAUGGGGGAAACCCUGACCCAGCAACGCCGCGUGAAGGAAGAAGGUCUUCGGAUCGUAAACUUCUAUCCUUGGUGAAGAUAAUGACGGUAGCCGAGAAGGAAGCCCCGGCUAACUACGUGCCAGCAGCCGCGGUAAUACGUAGGGGGCAAGCGUUGUCCGGAAUGAUUGGGCGUAAAGGGCGCGUAGGCGGCCUGGUAAGUCUGGAGUGAAAGUCCUGCUUUUAAGGUAGGAAUUGCUUUGGAUACUGUCGGGCUUGAGUGCAGGAGAGGUAAGUGGAAUUCCCGGUGUAGCGGUGAAAUGCGUAGAGAUCGGGAGGAACACCAGUGGCGAAGGCGACUUACUGGACUGUAACUGACGCUGAGGCGCGAAAGUGUGGGGAGCAAACAGGAUUAGAAACCCUGGUAGUCC